Molecule: long non-coding RNA, 390 nt
Filed under: Brachypodium distachyon (stiff brome)
Lineage: Eukaryota; Viridiplantae; Streptophyta; Magnoliopsida; Poales; Poaceae
Description: long non-coding RNA (BDIS_LNC000890)
Source: RNAcentral
AGUUGUCCGAUUUUUAGUAAGAGAUAAGUUGAUUUCUCAGCCGUUGCAUAUGAUUCAUGCUUUAAGAUUCGAAAUGGAUGAUGAAUAAAAGAGGUUAAAAUGAGAUUUUGAUACUAAUCCAACGGUUCUAUUCGUCAACUUAGAGUUAAGCCUUUUGCUUAAAAACCUUAAAUGUAGCCACACCCUAAGGACAUUUAGUGCAAUCAAACGAUGACCUUUUUAGACUGGCCUCCAUAAAACUGGCGACUAAACACCAAGCCCAAGAACAACCUAGCCCGAGGACCAGAAAACACCCUUUUGGCAUUAUUAAUCGUUUUCAGGAUAUAAAAAAAAAUGAUUUCUAUACUUUAAAAAAAAUGUCAUUCUUGUCAUUUCCAGGCUUUCGGGUUG